UCUCUUUUAGGUGGCUAAAGGCAAAACAUGUAAAUAUUAUUUUUGUUUAUCAUAACCGGUGGUUAAGCCCUCUCUCUUAUUUGGGUAUUGUUUAAUGGCUCUCUUUAUGUGCUUCGACGUUGUAUAAUUGUGCAAUUUCCUUGAUUACUUGAAAAAAUAUAUAUUAGUUAAACAACAAGCCUAUCAAAAGCAUAAGACAUGCUGAUGAAAGGUAAACCAUGCACAUACAUCAUUACUCAAUUUUGGAUGAAAAUUAAGAAGCCUAGUUAUUUAAAGUAGUUUAUAGAUGCAUAAUAUAUAUUGUGCUCGUGAUUUUCGGAUAUCAAACCAUUAAUUGAUUUGAAUUGUCAAUCUUUGAACUCUCGAUUUUUAUUCGUGGGAAGGAAAAAAUGAGUAAAAACCCUUAUCGAGACUUUGGAUUCGGGGGUUGGUUACGCGAAGGGAAGGUGCUAGCACCCUAAGCGUCUACGGUAUUCCGUAGGAACCUCUUACCUAAUUUAUCUUGUGCUAAAUUCAUUGCUUAUUUGAAAAUUAUUACCUAAAAAAUCUAAGUGAAAGAAUGGAGGGAGAAGAAGUAUGUUUUUGGUUAUUUUUAUUUGAUUUGGAAGGAUAAAAAUCCCAUGCCUACAUACCCUUAAAGAAAAGGGAUCAAAACCAAUGUAGUUCACCUAAAAAGUUUCUUUUUGGUGGGUUAGGUUGAUUUUAAGAUAUUUUUGAAAAUGGGUUUUUAGAAGGGAAAGAGGCCUCAAGGCAUGAGAUAAAAUAAGGUGAGGUUGGUCAAAUUUUAAUUACAAGAAAUCAAAUCUAUUAUGAAUGUUAAUUCAAUUAAGCAUUUGAUUAAGAAAAUAAAAGGAAAACACUUGGGUUACAAACCAAGGUUUAUUAAAAAAUAUUUUUGGAGUUUUGCAUAUUUGAUUUUUUUGUGGUUUUUGAAUAUUGGACUAAAAUUAAACUAACGGAGCAUAAAAAUAAAACGUAGGUACUUCAUGGUGAUGUUGGAUCACCAUAAAGACCUUUAACCUAAAUUAUAAAGCAUAAAGAGAGGCAUACACACGCACGCACACAUGCACCUACGACUAUUACAUAAAAGCCUAUGAUACAUUCUAAAGUUUGCGGAAAAUAAAUGACAAGAAAAAUAAAUUAUUUACAUUAAGCCUAGUUUACAUUCUAACAUAAAUGACAUAGAUAAAUAAAACAUGCAUGAGAGACUAUAAAAUAAUGAUUACGAUGCUAAAAAAAAAACAAAACAAAAUAAAAGGCAUGAAAGAAAUAAUAAAAAAAAAAUGAGGUUCAAUCACAAGGUGGGGGGGGGGGGGGGGGGGGUGCAGCAGUGUAACACCCCGUUUUCCCAACGUGAAAAUUUCAUUUAUUUAAUCAGAGUAAUUCACCUAAACGGAAUGUCACAUUCUUUUCUUAAAAUCAUAAACUGAAUAAAUAACUAUUUAUCCUUUUAAAAUUCGAUAACAAAAUCUUUAAUACUUUGCAGCGGACAUUAUUCAGUGAUCAAAACAGUCUUUGGCACAAGGCCUCAUCAUUAAUAUCUCAUACAAAUCCGAUCAAUAUCUUAUUCAUGAAAAUUCUUUAAGCAAUACGUAUGGAAAAGAAAGACAACAUUAAAAUUCCCAUCCCUUUAUGUAUCAGAGCACCUAAGACACUUGAGCCACCACUCCUACUAAUCAUUAAUACCUGCAAGUUACUCAUACGAAGAGCAACAUUUUCAAGCAGAAGGGGUGAGAUUUCACAAAACAAUAAUAUCAAGCAUAUAAUUCAAUAAUUAUAUUUAACAACACAAAUAACUUCAUCUAUUAGCAAUAAUACUUCUUAAUGUAUAAUUCUUAAUAAUCCAACCAACCUCUAAUUAUCAUUUACUUUAUAUUCAUUACAUUAUAAAUAUCAUCAUAUAACACAUAUUAACCAAAACAUAACAAACAUAGAUCAUCACAUCAUAGUCAUAGUUCAUAUAUAGCAUAACAACAUCUUAAUCCUAAUUCAUAUACAACAUAACAACAUCAUUAAUUCAUAAUAAUAAUUAUUCGUCAAACAUCUCAUUAUUAAUUCAUGAAUAAAAGACAACUUAUCAACUUUAACAUAACCAUCAUCAAGUACACUUAACAACUCAUAGAUAACAUCAUGUAAUCAUCAUCACUAAUAACUUAAACUACAAUAUAAUAUAAUCAUCUCUUAUUAAUAGUAGUAAUUAUCUACAUCAUAACAUAAACAUCUUCUUAUAAUAAUAUAACAACAACGUAACAUGAUAUUCACUUAAUAAUAAUAAUUAUUAUAUAUACAUCAUCUCUUCAUAAUAUAAUAAUAUAACAACGACAUAUUCAUGAUAUUCACUUAAUAAUAAUAAUAAUUAUAUAUAUACAUCAUCUCUUCAUAAUAUAAUAAUAUAACAACAACAUAUUCAUCUUCUUGUAUUAAUAUAACAACAACGUAUUCAUCAUCUUAUGAAAAUAUAAUCAACACAUACUAACACCAAAAUCAACAUCAUAAAUCUUCAACAUAAACAUCUUAAACAAUAUCAUCUUAAACAUCAUAGCAUCUUUGAUAAACAAUUACCAAGUAAUCACAACAUUCGAUCAUCAUCAAUAACAUAACAUAAUAUUCACUUAAUAAUAAUUAAUCCUAUAUAGGACAACAUAAUCAUCACUUAUUAGUAACAAUUAUAUGCAACAUCAUAACAACUUAACAAUAUCAUAAUCAACAUGUUAAACAACAUAACAAUAUCAUAAUCAAUAUCUUAAACAACAUAGCAACGUAACAAUAUCAUAAUCAACAUGUUAAACAACAUAACAAUAUCAUAAUCAAUAUAGCAACGUAACAAUAUCAUAAUCAACAUGUUAAACAACAUAGCAAUAUAACAAUAUCAUAAUCAAUCUGUUAAACAACAUAGCAAUAUAACAAUAUCAUAAUCAAUAUCUUAAACGACAUAGCAACGUAACAAUACCAUAAUCAAUAUCUUAAACGACAUAGCAACGUAUGAAUAUCAUAAUCAACAUGUUAAACAACAUAGCAAUAUUUUAGUCAACAUCAUAUAAUUCACAUCGUAUAAUCUUCGUAGGUACUUCUUUAACAACACAUGGGUAGAACACCACUCGACAAACUCAUGGAUGAUAAUUCAUCGACAACGACCUUGACUCGACAAAUGCGACAAUGCAACUUAGACACUUUAUAUGCAUGUGGUACCAAUCGUCAUCAUAAGUAUUAAUAUACUUUUAUCGUGCGGAGGACAAAACUCCUAAAACGUGCGGAGGACAAAGCUCCUAAUCGUGGUGAGGACAAAGCUCAAUGAAAUGCUAUGCAUGGACUCUUAACAACAAGACACCGUAAUCAUCGUAAUCAACAUAUCAUCAUGCAUCCAAUAAUUUGGAGCUAAACGUCAUCAUUUCAUCAUAUAUAUAGACAUCAUGUACUUAUUUAAAUAACAACAGUAGCACAGUCAAGUCACACAAUAACAGAGAGAUAUCAAUAUAUCAAUUUCAAUUCACAACAUAACAAUAUUAAUGUGAAGCAUCAACAACUUAAACAUCAAACAUCUUCCACAUAAGGCAUAUAAAUAUUUCACAUAAUCAACAACAGCAGCAUAGGCGACACAUAAACAUCUCAGGAUAUAACAAUAUCAAAUGAUAAUCAACAACAACUCAUGCAACUUAGUUAAAUAACAAUAGCAGCAUAAUCAGAUCAUAUCAACAGCUUAAUAUCAAUUCAUUUUCAACAACUUCCUAAUCAUUCAAUAAUAAUUCAAGUAAUGCAAUCAAUCAAUAAAUCACAUUAUAAACACUUAGCAUUUCAAUAUAGCUUCACAAAUAACAGUUAACAUCUUAGAUAGGUCUCAUUAGUACCUAAAGUUCCAUUCCUAAUCCAUUCAAACGACUCAGGUCUCAAAUUCCUCAAAAGCACUCAAUUCUGGAUGUGCUCGCGAGGCGAGAGUUCUUACUCGCCAUGGCGAGUACCACUCAUCUCCCAAACUAGUGUUGUUCUGGGUUCAAUCUGAUCCUACAUUCAAUCCUAAUCAAUACUAGGUAUGUUCAGGCACUCUAAGGCAUCCAAGGUCCAACUAAAAAGGUCGAAACACGAAAUCUAACAUACACUCUGCCUUAGCUCGCUAUGGCGAGUAAGGUGGCUCGCAGUGGCGAGCUGCAUCACACAACUCGCGAGGCGAAGGGGAUUGCUCGCCAUGGCGAGUUGAACUAAACAACUCGCGAGGCGAAGGGAAGGGCUCGCGUGGCGAGCGAUGAAGUUCAUCCCUCGCGAGGCGAGGAUCAUCCCUCGCCAAGGCGAGCGAUGAACAGAAGCUCGGGCAGACUAGGGUUUUUCUCAAAAAUCCAUCAUUCAACAUGUUUCAAAGCUUGGUUUUGAUUCCAGAAUUCAUCCUAAACAUAUUCUAAGGUUAAAGGACAGUUCUUUCAUCAAUCUAAACAAGUUUUACCGUUUGAUCAUCAAUCUUUAGGGUUUUGACCUAAUUCCAAAACUUUUCUAAAUCAAUCCUAACUUUGUCAAUUAAUCAUCAAAAUUACAGCAAUCAACGUUAUUGAAUUAUGAGUCUUACCCUUACCUUAAUACACAAAAUCGCAGCCCUCCUCUUGGUGUUUCCUCUUCUCUUGACUUUUUCUCCCUUUUUCCAAAACUGGUCGUACGUACGUUAUGUUUUUCUAAACUAGGUCUCUCCUAUUUAUAUAAAUCUUUAACCUACUUAUUUUUCUCUUAAAUCCAAAUAUUAAUAUUCUAUUCUAAUAUAUACAUAUAUAUAAAAUAUUUCUAGAACAAUAAUAAAUAACAAAUAUAUUUCUAUAACAUAUAUAUAUUUUCAUAACAAAUCAUUUAUAUUUCCAUAACGAAUCAUAUAUAUUUCUGAACCAAAUAACAUAUAUUAUAUUUCUAAAUCAAAUAACAUAUAUAUAUAUAUAUUUCUAAAUCAAAUAACAUAUAUAUAUAUUUCUAAAUCAAAUAACAUAUAUAUUAUAUUAAUAAAUAUAUAACAUAUAUCAUAACAAAAUAUCACUCAUUAAAAUAAAUCAUAUAAAUCAUACAAAUCAUAUAAAUGUAUUCUAAACUCAUUAAAAAUAUUCAAAUAAUUAGAGAGGGCGUUACAACCAGUAUUAUGGGGUGUGCAGUAUAUAAAGAGGAAUUGAAACUGGGCCUUUGGAAAACAGAUGGAGCGUUGGGCUUAAAGGGAACCGGUUUUAGGUCCGGUCCGGUUCAAGCGCUGAACCGGUUCGGCCUAAUAGUAUAUAUAGGCUGUGGACUGGUUUUUUCAUUUUAAACAUGGAUUUCUCUCUCUACUCCCUAAAACCUAAACAAAGCUCUCUUCUCUUUUCUUUCUUCUCCGGUAGAGAGAUGGGCGGCCGGAGGUGGCUCCGACGCGGCGGUUGGCCGUCAUCGACGGCGGCGCCGCCGCUCCCAAAACAGUUUUGUUUAAUUUUUUUGUUGUUCCUACUCGGUUUUUUUACCUCUGUCCGUUUUUAACACUAAAAAAAAUCAAAUACCUACCCAACAGUCCUAGAUCUAAAAGACACGAAAUUAUACCUUUCCUUUCUCUUCGAUCUGCGACGAGGUGGUUAUGAUUCUGGUCCGUUUGUCCCUGAUAGGUUCGACGCGAUGGUUACUCGGAAACAGUCCUAUGGUGUUCGGUUUGAGCUCGUCGACGGUGUUGCUGGGUCCGAUUUGUCUCGUAUUUUUUUGUCUGAUCGGUUGUGUUGUGUGUGGUUAAGGGUUUCGAGGAAGGGUUUUGGUUGAUUGAGUUUCGUAUUGAAAUUGGUGGUUUAUGGUGUUGGCUUGUGUGGGAAAUUGUUUAUGCAGGUUUCUGAUUUUUUCGUCUACAGGUUUGCGGCCAGGGUUUUUUAUCUGUUUGCGGCUAGGGUUUUUUUGUGUUUUUUGGUUGUGGAAAUUGUCCGUGAACAGUUCUGAUUUCCUCUCUUUCUUUUAAAGGCUAAUACAAAUUCUUAAAAGGAAAUAGAUUAAAGGACCAUGAAUCGGCUUGAUGGGUGAUUAAGUGACUGUUAAAGGCUGAAACGCGUUUUAGCUUGAUUUGGAAAGAAUAAUCUGACUUUUGGCACUGAUGGAGUGGCGUGUUUGAGAGAAUGGACCUCGGAAAAAAAAAUAAAAAUCUAACCUAUUGACACUUUAUUAUUCUUUGACAUUUAUUAUCACAAAAAGAAAAAAAGAAAAAAAAAGAAAGAGAAAAAUAAGACCUAAAAAUGGAAGUAAUGAUAAUCAAAGAUAAAGGUAAAAUUAAAACAAAUAAAACUAAAAGACUAAUAAAUAAAAAAAGUGAGGAGAGGGCCCGCAAUCGGAACAAAAAUGAGGUAUUUUAAAAUACCUCUCUGCCGAAUUUUCACUGAAAAAAUCAAAGAUCGAUCAGAGUCAAGUGACGCGCAUCAGUGGGACCUUAGGUCAAAAUUUAGGGUAUGACAUAUAUCUAGCAUCGUAGGCUUUUUUUGACAUAUCGGUAUUAAGCAGGAACAGACAUCUUCAAGAAGUCAUUCUUGAAUUUAUUACUAGAGGCCAUCUUGUAUGCGUCUUAUGCUUCAGAGACAGAGGCAAAACAGAAGCCAUGUUUGAGAUUAGAAUUUGGAAAGUGAGCACAAUAAUUCCCACUACCCUUUUUCGUGCAUUCAUCAUGAGACAUACAUAACUUAGGAUGUUCGUCAACCUUCCUGUGAAAAUUUCCACUUACCACAUUGUCUUUUUCGCAAAAACCCACACAAACACCGAACGUACAAUCAACGAGUACGCAUUCACAACCGUUACGACAACCUGGCAAAAAGGUACCGCAACUUUGUUGACAUCCUGCUCCUUCUACUUUGUUCAUCGGAAACAUUACUGUAAAUGACAAAGCUAAUUAAAUUUGAACAACAUACAAAUACCAUUAUUAUAAUAGUAAUAAAAUUAGUUGAGAGUCGAUUAUGAUUAAUUUCUCACGAUUUAUUAAACAUAAAUAGAAAUGCAUGCAUGUUAUAUAUGGGUGAGGAAGAUGAUUGAAAUACAUACAGAAUGCGGCAAGCAAGAAGACAGCAAAAGGAGCUAGCUUAACAUAAGCCAUUGAUUGAUCAAAAGAAAGAAUACUAUUGUUUGCUAAUUAUGAGAUCAACUUUUUAUUGCAUUUUUUUAUUUCUUGCAUGCAUCAAUUUAUAGACAAAAUUAAUGUUUUUCCCUUAUCCAUGGAUCCUCAAAUUGUCUUAUUAAAUUCAACAGCGAGGGACACGAGGUUAAUUUAAUAAGCAUUCCCACUAAAAUACACAAGCUGAGGUUUCUAUAUGCUUAUCUAUAACUGAGGGUAAACAAACACAAACUCUGUAAUCUCAAUAAUUGUUUUCAAAGUAAUCUCAUCGGAUACUAGUAUUCUGCACGUUGGUUUGUGCUUAAUUAUGCAUUCAAUAAUUAUUUUAUAUUAGUAAUCCCAAUAGUGAAGAGACUGAUACUCAAUUGAGAUUGAGACAUGCCAUUAUUCAACUAUCACUUGGUAGAAUUUAUCUUGUUUGUAUCUUAGAACGAGCAAAGGAAUCUUUAUAAGCACUGAGGUUGGUGUUUAAUUAUUAUUUUUUGAAAGAAUGUUUAAUUAUAUAUAUUCAAUUUUUAAAUUAUUCAGCAUUUGGAACUUUAUCAACAACCAAAGGAACUCGUGGAGUUGUUGUACUCGAACGAGGAAGAAAUGAAAUGACAAACAGAAGAGUUAGACAAACAGAAGAGUAAAAUUAGAUUUAUUGUAUUAAUUAUAAACAUAUGAUUUUUACACAAUUAUAUUUAGAGAAGGAUACAAGAGCUGGUUUGACAAAAACUAUAUUUUGUUUCAAUCCCUUUUCUUUUUAGAUUUCUCCCCUCUCUCUUUAUUUAGUGUCUUGGAAAGUGGGAGGUAGGACUCAUGCAGCCGAGGUAAAAAUAAGGUGGAUUAGGUGUACAAAUAUCACAAUCCAAAAUAUAAAAGGGCCUUAUGCUAUAACGGAAGGGAAACAAUCAAACAUUGUUUUGUGGGAAGAAAAAUAAGUUUUGCACAUAAAAGGUGCCUGUUUAUAUGAGAAAUGUUAUCAAGUAUCCUUAUGAUACUUGAUAAAAAGUUUAAAGGGAAAAUUUUAUUUCGUGAGUUGUGUAUUUUACACAUUGAAUCAUUAAAAAGUAAUUUUUUUAACAUAAAAUUUAUCAAUUUUUUUUUUUUGAAUUUUUAUAACAAAGUACCAUAAUAACACUUGUUAGCUUUUUUUUUUUUUUUUUUUAUCAAUGAAAUGCUAAGGCCACUUUGUCGGUUAGUGCUACAAUUUAUUUUGAUGUUCUCGAUUGUAUUAACAAUAUUAUUAUCAAUGAAAUGCUCUAAGCAUUUUUUCAUAAAAAUUAUAAACAUAAAUAUAUUGGCAUGGCAUGAUUUUUUUUUAUUUUUUAUGAAAAAAUGCUUAUAGCAUUUCAUUGAUAAUAAUAUUGUUAAUACAAUCGAGAACAUCAAAAUAAAUUGUAGCACUAACUGACAAAGUGGCCUUGCCUGCAAAAAUAUGAGCAACCAUAUUAACAUGUUGCCGAUUAAACUUUGGCCUAAAAUUAGUAAAUGUGAAUAGAAGAGAAUCUGAUAUGCUGCAAUGACUUGGCAUGAAUAUCUUAAAAUGUAAAGUAGUAUAUAGUCAUUUGAAAUUUCACCAUCUCCUACUGGUUAAUUUAAAAUAUAAUAUAAAUAAUCAAGUGGUUGAGAUGCGGCUAAUGAGCUUUAUCAAAUGAGGAAAGAAUUCGAGUUUCAUUUCUGAUGGAACAAUUAUUGAUCAUGUUUUUUUUUUUUUUACCUCUCAACCAAACUAGAGUCAUAUCCUCUAGUUAUGGGAUUCUUAACAAAUCCUUCCUCUACAUUUAAUGUAUCAGCGGGUGGUUAUGAUGGAUCCUAUGGUGACCUAUACCACAGUGGCAGCCGUUCGGUUUACAAUGACUCUGCUUGGUGGUCUGCUACAAUUGAGAUAAUGAUAGGAGGGUGAAAAAAGUAACCAUUGCAAUCUCGGAUAUGGCCACAACAAGUUGUACUUCUCGAGUAGGAGAAGAAAGAAUCAUGUUCAUUUACUUUGAAACAUCCAAUAGGAAGUGAAUUUCAUGCCAGAUAAAUAAAGGUAGCAUGGAUUUAAACCUUAUUUUAUAAUAUCAUGGUAUUCUUCUGAAAAACUGGGUGGUUUUGGAAAGUAUCUUUCCAAAUUUGAUAGAGGUUUCUUAACACUUGGACCAAUCCAUUGUACACGCAGCACAAAUGCAUGCAGGAAUUUCUUUCUCUCUUCUCUGACCCGCUUCUACUUUCUUCCCUAUCAUUCCAUCACCGCCACCUCCCCCCUCUCCAUGGUCUGUGUCUUCUCACUCAUGUCCCCUUACAAAUUGAUUUUAAUAAUUUCAAUUCAUUUCAACAAUGCAAGGAUAGUAUUGAAUUUUAUUUUAUAGACACUUUAAAAAACCUGAAAUUGAUUUCAAUUUCUACUUUAAAACUCAUAAAAAGAACAAAUUAGAGUUUGUAAUAUUCGAUGUGAAGGUCUAGAUUUAGAGAAAUCACUACCAUAUCCAAGGUUAUGAUUCUGGAACCUUAGCAAGAACAAGGAUACUUAUAACCACCACUACCAAAGCAACUCCAACUGUCAACACAAUGUCACAGGUUGCGGUGGCGAGAAGAAGUGGGACAUACUCGAUGGAUAUGAUGAGAUGAAGCAGAUGAAAUUGGGGAAUUGAGAGGAGGUGGAGGAAAAGGGAUCAAGUGUGUGAUAGUUUAGUGUGAAAAAACAUAUAUUAAUUAAACAACAGGCCUAACAAAAGCAUAACACAUGCUACGAAAGACAACCAAAAAUACAAAGUCAUGAAAGCAAAAAUACAAAAUCUUCAACUGUAUAUAUGAAAAUUAGAAAACGAGUAAUGGCAUACAUUACUUUCAAAAUAACAUCAUAUCUUACAUGGUCAAACCAUGCACAUACAUCAUUAUUGAAAUUUGGAUGGAUGUUAAGAAACCCAAUUAUUUAGCAGGAAACAAAGACUACUAUUUAAAGUAAGUACAUAGAUGCAUGAUAUCUAGCAUGGUAGGCUUUUUUUCACAUCGAACGAUAUUAAGCGGGAAGAGACAUCUUCAAGAAGUCAUUCUUGAAUUUAUAGCUAGAGGCCAUCUUGAAUGCGUCUUGUGCUUUAGAGACAGAGGCAAAACAGAAGCCAUAUUUGAUAUCAGAAUUAGGA
RNAcentral lists this long non-coding RNA (10173 nucleotides) under Medicago truncatula (barrel medic). Its description in RNAcentral is "long non-coding RNA (MTRU_LNC000819)". Lineage: Eukaryota; Viridiplantae; Streptophyta; Magnoliopsida; Fabales; Fabaceae. The record is from RNAcentral.